Oncorhynchus keta (chum salmon) is the source of this 270-nucleotide long non-coding RNA. RefSeq lists it as uncharacterized. The record is from RefSeq and is a predicted model, not a curated record. The transcript has 3 exons. NCBI's taxonomy places the organism in Eukaryota, Metazoa, Chordata, Actinopteri, Salmoniformes, Salmonidae.
CUAAGGUCUCUCUUCUCCCUGGUCCUCUGUGUUGAAUCACUAAGGUCUCUCUUCUCCCUGGACCUCUGUGUUGAAUCACUAAGGUCUCUCUUCUCCCUGGUCCAGACCUGUCUCUGUGUUGAAUCACUAAGGUCUCUCUUCUCCCUGGUCCAGACCUGUCUCUGUGUUGAAUCACUAAGGUCUCUCUUCUCCCUGGUCCUCUGUGUUGAAUCACUAAGGUCUCUCUUCUCCCUGGACCUCUGUGUUGAAUCACUAAGGUCUCUCUUCUCC